This 2636-nucleotide long non-coding RNA is filed under the name Marmota monax (woodchuck). The record is from RNAcentral. Lineage: Eukaryota; Metazoa; Chordata; Mammalia; Rodentia; Sciuridae.
CCCAUCCCCCCCCCCGCCCCCUCUCCCGCCGGCUCCUUUGUCUGCAGGCGGGGGCUGUGGGGCGGGGGUUGUGGGGCGGCGGCGCGGGCGCCCCCUCGGCGAAGCGGUGGGCACCGUCCCCCGCGGGCCCGGCGUCCGGCCAGGUCCCUCGGGCCCCUGCUGCCCGCGAUCGCCACUGAGCCUCCUGUGCCAGCUGAUGGGCUUCAACCCGCCGCUGCCAGUGCGUCCCUGGCGGGAGCAGGACGGGGUCUUGGGCAGUCUUUGGCGCUCGAAUUUGUGCCUGCUUGGGAGGGGUCUGCGCACCUGGAUCCUAGUACACCUGCUGGCCCCAAGGCCCUCGAGCGGAAGGCGACGACAGGAAUCAGUUCCCUUCCUGAAGGGCCAAGUGGGGAACACCUUGAGAGCCUGCCGUCGUUCUCCGGCUCUUCCGAGGUGGGGUCUGGAGCCCGAUAUGUGGGCCCAGUAGAUGGGACCAGGCUGUGCCCAUCAUGUCACUGACCACUGACCCGUUCCUCAGCCUCCUUGGGAUUGGGUCUGACCAGGAUCUGCCUGCCCUGCGCUGGAGGCUUUUGGACAGGAGAAAAGGAAGGACCUCCAGAGGUCACCUGGAAGAGCCUUUGAAGGCCGUGCCCCUCUCCCACACAGCUCCUUUGGGGGCACGCACACACACUCCCACCAGAAAAGACACCAAGGAAGACCAUUAUUUUCUGCCACCUUCCUUUGUCCAGCUGGCUGUGGGGCAUGGACCAGGAAAUGCCUGGACUCCCUCACUCCACAAGCCAGGAGCAACCCAGGUGGGGAGCCAGAACUUUCAGGUCCCCAUUGGAGGUCCCAAGAGAGCCCUGAGCUCUCAGCCCUUUCAGGCUGAGAGGUCUCUGGGAGGGAGGGAAAGUGAGGCUCACCCACCCGAACCAGACUCCCUUCCAGAGUCAGAUGGGUUGCAGGGAAGGGGGUGCUGCGUCAACAUGAAGAUGUGGCCACAAGUGGUCUUCUGAGUUUUGAAGCCAGGAGCAAACUGAACAGGACAAGGGCGUGUGCCCAGAGUGACACCAUGCUGGGAUGGCAGUACCAAAGGCAGGGAUUUGUGUGGACUGCUUUAUUUUUCUCUGUAUGUUAUAGUUCUUAUUCCCUACAGGCAUUGAUGUCAAAAGUGUUUAUCUUUAAGGAAAUAAAGAGAAGCUAACCAAGGGACCCCAGAACCCCUGGAGCAGGGCUGCUAUCAAGUGGCCUGAGGUCAGUAGAAGGCAGGGUCUUAUUCAGUCCUUUGCAGAGACUGACUUUCCUAUAGACCCUGGGCACAAGGCCACACUGGUUAGUGACCAUCUUGUCCCCAGGGUCUCCUAAAAGGUCUGAAUGCCUGGGCGUCAGCGGUCAAGGAGGGCCGGUUGGAGAACCCCAUCCAGCCUGCAGCCUGUGCCAAGAGCUCCUCAGGGUCAUCUUGUGCGUCCCUCUUGCUCGGACCUUGUGGUGCUCUGUUCAGUGCAGCUCCCAUCACCCCAACUCCACCACCUUUUGGGGGAGGUACCCCAGGAGAAGGAGCAGGCUGGGACCCCUGGGCUGCCUGGCUUUCUGGUUUUCAUUCAGUUCCCACUUUUAUUUUUCUACUUUACCCGUUUAAUUAUGGAGUUAAACCAGGUGCUGCGGGACUCCCCCUCUGUCAGCCACAUUACAGCACGGGAGGUGACUGUCUCUUCUAGAGUCUGUGACUCUGAAUUCCAUCAAGGAUGGUAACAACAGGCUUGUUAAAGCUGUUCCUUCUUCCACCCGAGGAAGGGGCUCACCUGGACAAAGACAUGCAGGAGCUGGGGAGGGGGGGCUGGGCAUCAAGAGGAGGCCCAACCCUCCACCCCAAGGGGCCUGGAAGCGAGCGAACAUCUGUCUGUGUACAACAAUCAAGUUCUAUUUUUGUAAUUAAAAAUACAUUCAAAGGAAAAAGGAAACAAAAAGAACAAUCUUUGGUGUCCGUUGCUGCAGAAAGCUGAAGUUGGGGGUGGGGGUGCUGGAACCAGAAGGUGGGCUGUGCUCAUCUUGGACAGGUUUCCUGGGCUACUCUAGUACCCCGAAUCCUGCUUACACAGGAGUGGGACUCCACUUAUAGAAAGUGGUGAGCUCUAGGGUCCCCUGCCUGGCCCCUGCCAAGCAGUACGCCCGUUCAUCUCUUGUGACUCUCCAGAUCCCACGCAGCAAGCGUAUGACCCCAGCUGUUUGCUCUCCUCUGAGCCCCCGGAAAGACCACAGUCCCCAGUCCUCUGUGUCCAUUUUGGCCAGGAAUCGGUUCGCUUCCAGGUGUGGCUGUCCAGAAUAUCAGAGCAGUCCUUCUGCCCCCUCUGCUGGCCAGAUGGGGACCUGGGGACAGCUGCAAGGCUCCGGAGCAGCCCCUAGAGGGGCGGGCCAUCGAUGCCACGGCAGGCACACCCACGUUACCUGGGGCGUGGGGGUGGGGUGGAGUGAGGAGUAGACUUCAAGUGCAUCUCCAGCUGCUGAGGGUCAGGCCUUUUGGUCUCUGGGCUGGCAUCACAGGGCAGGCAUACAUUCCAGCGGCAUGGUCAGCUGGGGAGACAAGUUGCGGAGAAGUAAAACCUUGCUCCAGAGCCCAGGCAGUCAAGGCAUGGCACCCCCAGGCAGCCCAGUUCUCU